Etheostoma cragini (Arkansas darter) is the source of this 223-nucleotide long non-coding RNA. RefSeq lists it as uncharacterized. NCBI's taxonomy places the organism in Eukaryota, Metazoa, Chordata, Actinopteri, Perciformes, Percidae. The record is from RefSeq and is a predicted model, not a curated record. The transcript is spliced from 2 exons.
AAUUGUUGAGCAGAGGGAUGUUGCUGUCAGCUGUUGCUCUUCAGUAGCUCCCUGUCACCUCCCUCUGCUCCAAGUCACAGCGUGCCAUUUGCCCGACAGCAGCUGGGCCAAAUAUCCAGUUAACAAAAUAUGGCUGUGUACAGAUUCCUACGCCAAAGCUGUGGACCGGUGUCAGCAGCUGAUGGACACUUCCAGCAUCGAGACAGAAGAUGAAGCAAGUGUC